Nothoprocta perdicaria is the source of this 493-nucleotide long non-coding RNA. RefSeq lists it as uncharacterized. Lineage: Eukaryota; Metazoa; Chordata; Aves; Tinamiformes; Tinamidae. The transcript is spliced from 2 exons. The record is from RefSeq and is a predicted model, not a curated record.
UUUACUCCACAAAAGGGCUCUUAGAGACUGAUCUGCAAAGUGAGGAAAAAGACUUUUGAGGCCAGAUCAAAAGGAUACAUCCAGCAGAUCCAUUUUAUGUUACUUGUUUAUAAUAUUGAUGUAGAAAAGAAAUAAGGAACUACCACUGCUUGUCAGGCAUAUCAGCUCAGGAACUGAGACACAAGUAUAGUAUAGAUCUGGAGGUUUUCAGCUACCCUGUGUUAAGGGGAUCAACAUACCUUCUAAUAUUAUGACUUUGUUUCUGUAUAUCUAAAUAGACUUCUAAACAUAUUUGUUGGUAAAGGAUGAAAAUGUUCUCACUGUGGUGGAACCAUGGGAAAGAGAUCCUCCGUCCUCAGGAGAGGAUGCAUUCUCUGCUCUGCGUGACCCCUUCGAGGAAGCCCAUGAGCUGUGUCAGUUCUCUGGUGGGUGCAGCCCGGCCUCGGCGUGCUGGAGAGCUGCGAGGUCUGCUCUGCCCGCCACCUCUCGGGUU